This 377-nucleotide RNase P RNA is filed under the name Acidobacteriota bacterium. RNAcentral's name for it is "Acidobacteria bacterium RNase P RNA component class A". It matches the Rfam family "Bacterial RNase P class A". Rfam says of the family: Ribonuclease P (RNase P) is a ubiquitous endoribonuclease, found in archaea, bacteria and eukarya as well as chloroplasts and mitochondria. Its best characterised activity is the generation of mature 5'-ends of tRNAs by cleaving the 5'-leader elements of precursor-tRNAs. Cellular RNase Ps are ribonucleoproteins. Lineage: Bacteria; Pseudomonadati; Acidobacteriota. The record is from RNAcentral.
GGAGCGGAUCGGAGGAUCGCCGCGUCGCAAGGCGCGGAGGAAAGUCCGAACUCCAACGGGCAGCAGGCUGGAUAACAUCCAGGCGCGGCAACGCGACGGACAGUGCAACAGAGAGCAAACCGCCGAUCGUUCUGUGCGCGAGCACAGGAAGGAGGCAAGGGUGAAACGGUGCGGUAAGAGCGCACCGCAUCCCGCGCGAGCGGCGAUGGCACGGCAAACCCCCUGCGGAGCAAGACCAAAUAGGGAAGCGAAGGGACCGCCCGUUCCCGUCAUCAGCUUCCGGGUAGGUUGCUUGAUCACCGCGGAAACGCGAGUGACAGAUGAAUGAUCCUCCCUCCACUGGGGGACAGAAUUCGGCUUACAGAUCCGCUCCACGC